CGAGCACGCGCGUGUGGCAUAUCAAUAAGCGGAGGAAAAGAAACUAACAAGGAUUCCCUUAGUAACGGCGAGUGAAGCGGGAAGAGCUCAAAUUUGAAAUCUUCAAGGUUCUACCUUGACGAAUUGUAGUUUAUAGAAGUGUUUUCUGUUAGUAGGAGUGGCAAAAGUUCUUUGGAAUAGGACAUCAUAGAGGGUGAGAAUCCCGUAUUUGGUCAUUCCUUCUAGCGUUGUGAUACACUUUCAACGAGUCGGAUUGUUUGGGAAUGCAGUCCAAAAUGGGUGGUAAAUUUCAUCUAAAGCUAAAUAUUGGCGAGAGACCGAUAGCGAACAAGUACCGUGAGGGAAAGAUGAAAAGAACUUUGAAAAGAGAGUUAAACAGUACGUGAAAUUGUCAAAAGGGAAGCGUUUGACACCAGUGUUGUUUUUCCGAAAAUCAAUUACGAAUGUUUUGUUUCUGAGGAGUUAUGACUUCAUCGGCUUGCUCCUUUCUUUACGAAACCUUCUUAAUGCACUUUUCGGUUAACAAGUCAACAUCAAUUUCUUUUGUCGUAAAAGGGUAUGAGGAAGGUGGCUUUCUUUUCGGAGAAAGUGUUUAUAGCCUUGUGCCUCUACAAUCGGAGAGAUUGAGGUCUGCAGCGUAGAUCCUUCGGGGUUAGAUACGUUUGUGCUAAGUUAUAGCUUUUCAUAGACAACUUGUUGACUAUGUUUAGUCUUGUAGCUUACUCGCUGACGCUAUUUUACCUACGCUUAGGAUGUUGAUGUGAUACUGCGAGC
This 774-nucleotide ribosomal RNA is filed under the name uncultured Neocallimastigales. RNAcentral's name for it is "partial large subunit ribosomal RNA". It matches the Rfam family "Eukaryotic large subunit ribosomal RNA", at positions 19 to 645 of the family's 3401-position model. The record is from RNAcentral. Lineage: Eukaryota; Fungi; Neocallimastigomycota; Neocallimastigomycetes; Neocallimastigales.